This 468-nucleotide ribosomal RNA is filed under the name uncultured bacterium. RNAcentral's name for it is "partial 16S ribosomal RNA". It matches the Rfam family "Bacterial small subunit ribosomal RNA", at positions 28 to 507 of the family's 1533-position model. The record is from RNAcentral.
GACGAACGCUGGCGGCGUGCUUAACACAUGCAAGUCGAACGGAAAGGCCCUGCUUUUGUGGGGUGCUCGAGUGGCGAACGGGUGAGUAACACGUGAGUAACCUGCCCUUGACUUUGGGAUAACUUCAGGAAACUGGGGCUAAUACCGGAUAGGAGCUCCUGCUGCAUGGGGGGGGUUGGAAAGUUUCGGCGGUUGGGGAUGGACUCGCGGCUUAUCAGCUUGUUGGUGGGGUAGUGGCUUACCAAGGCUUUGACGGGUAGCCGGCCUGAGAGGGUGACCGGCCACAAUGGGACUGAGAUACGGCCCAGACUCCUACGGGAGGCAGCAGUGGGGAAUAUUGCACAAUGGGCGGAAGCCUGAUGCAGCAACGCCGCGUGCGGGAUGACGGCCUUCGGGUUGUAAACCGCUUUCGCCUGUGACGAAGCGUGAGUGACGGUAAUGGGUAAAGAAGCACCGGCUAACUACGUG